This 301-nucleotide ribosomal RNA is filed under the name uncultured bacterium. RNAcentral describes it as "partial 16S ribosomal RNA". It matches the Rfam family "Bacterial small subunit ribosomal RNA", at positions 509 to 807 of the family's 1533-position model. The record is from RNAcentral.
CAGUCGCCACGGGAACACGGAGGGGGCUAGCGUUGUUCGGAAUUACUGGGCGUAAAGCGCACGUAGGCGGCUUUGUAAGUUAGAGGUGAAAGCCUGGAGCUCAACUCCAGAAUUGCCUUUAAGACUGCAUCGCUUGAAUCCGAGAGAGGUGAGUGGAAUUCCGAGUGUAGAGGUGAAAUUCGUAGAUAUUCGGAAGAACACCAGUGGCGAAGGCGGCUCACUGGCUCGGUAUUGACGCUGAGGUGCGAAAGCGUGGGGAGCAAACAGGAUUAGAUACCCCGGUAGUCCCUGUCUCUUAUAC